CUUCCAGAACGGGAUGCUGGAGCCGUGGCUGGAGAGCAAGGGCCUGGCGGGCGCCAACCAGGUGCUCGCCUACUUCGCGGUGUCCAGGCUCGGCGAGCCCCCCGUCGACGGCAUCACCGCCGCCAACCCCGAGGGCCUCACCGCCGCCUUCGGCGCCUGGGCCCCCGCUGUCGCCGCCCGCCUCCAGAACGGCGGGCUCACCUGCAAGGUGAUUUCAUCACCCAUAUCGACUCAGUGAUCGUGCAGUUCGUCAGUGUAGAAUGCCUCACAACUCUCUGGGUCAGUGUGCUCGUGGAUAGACUUGGGGGCUGCGGACCUCUUCUGCUGUUUGUGUUUGCUGCGCACAAAUGGUACACCAACAAAACAAGAUUGAUAAAAGCAGAAGAAGCUUUCCUAUCAUCCGAUCCGACGGGGAAAAGGUUUGUGCUGCAAAACAGAAAUUGACGGUUACUCAGGCUCUGCUUGAUGUGAAGUGGAUGAACUGGAAGAUGCAUCCCGAUCAAUUCAUUGUGCUUUGGAAUCUUGUCCUGAAGAUUGACUUGGUUGGGGCCAUAUCUGAAGAUACUACAAUUCUCAUUUGUGAAAAAUCCUCAGGUGCUUGAGAAGGGAGCCUUUGAGAAGCAAAUGCUAGAGAAGCUGAUUUGGAUUUCAGCUUUCAUGCUCGUUGGAGCUCGUCAUCCUGGGGCUACAGUUGGUGCGGUUGAAAAAGAAUACUGUUCUGAGGUAUCCAGCCUCAUAGUUGAAUUAGCAUCUGUCGCGGCUGUAGAGCGGGGGCUUUCUUUCGACGAGGGCAUGGAAGAGAGGCUCUGCGCCUACUCCAGAGCGGUGGCACACUAUCCAACCGCCGUGAAAGAGUUCAAGUGGAGGAAUGGUUGGUUCUACUCGCUCACCGAAAAGGCCCUCACGGAAGGAAAGCCAGAUCCAUGCCCACUCCACACAGCUUGGCUCAAGGAGAUUAAAGUCAUAUAGAUAGAGAUUUUUCAUUACAUGUGCACGCGGCGCGAUGCGUGUCUCAGGUUAAAUCUUGGAGCAAGUUUCUGAGGUGCUUAACCGUCGAUGCUAUGUAUAGAAAACAGAGUAUGUGGCAGACAAGUGUUGUGUUAUUAUUGGCAACAAGCUUUCAUGCGGUGGAGGAAACAACUAGAGGUAGUGCUGCAUGUAGACAGACUAUUUGUGAUUUAUAUCUUCCGGUUGCUGUAACCUGGAGAGGCUUGCAACAUAAUGGCAGUUGAGUCAUGUAUGUUUAUCCCUGCACUCGAGCGACUGGCCUUGGAGGAUUACGCCAUUGAAAAGCUCUACUGUGUUUCAAGCUUGUCGAGGGGGGCAUUUUUUGAAGAUAUGAUGGCAAGGGAUCACACCUUUGUCGACGAGAUCAAGUAGCUGUCGCUGGUAAUGCUGAACUCCAGUGAGUCACCGGUCACCAUAGGAUCCUACCUUGGUGUGAGUGAGUAGACUGUCCCGAUGGUCACUCAGAGGUUUGUUGAGGCUAUGCGGGAGCGAUCAUUGCACCACAUACAGUGGUCAGGCCCCACUAAAAAAAACUGUGAGCAUGAGGAGAAUGAAGGCACACUAAUGCAAGCUGCUGGUGAUAAGGGUGUGAUGUUGAAUGUCAACAAGCUGAAGGUACCAUCUGAUGGUGGAUCAGAAGUCAGUGAAUACAUAAUUGGUGCUCCAAGGUACCAGCUGUGGGCCAGCGGACGAACACGACGGACGGC
This 1715-nucleotide ribosomal RNA is filed under the name Triticum aestivum (bread wheat). RNAcentral describes it as "partial small subunit ribosomal RNA". Lineage: Eukaryota; Viridiplantae; Streptophyta; Magnoliopsida; Poales; Poaceae. The record is from RNAcentral.